RNAcentral lists this long non-coding RNA (7235 nucleotides) under Homo sapiens (human). RNAcentral's name for it is "HSALNT0058647". The record is from RNAcentral. Lineage: Eukaryota; Metazoa; Chordata; Mammalia; Primates; Hominidae.
AUUUAAAUUUUAUAGUCAUGUAAUUAGGUUAAUUUUUACAUGUAUUUUAAUUUACUGAUAAUAAUGUAAAUGAAAAAUCUUAGUUGAUAAAAACUUUAUUUAAAACAUGUAAAGAAUCAUAUAGUUCAAAACUGCAAAAAUAAAAGACAAUUUCUUGUAACUUAAAAAUAAAGUAUAUAUCUAGAAACCACCACAUUAACAUCUACUAUUUAUAGUACAAUCUCCAAUUCAAAGCUAAUCUUUGUAUUUCUGUAUUUUGCAACUUUUGAGCUAGAAUCUUCCUCCCUAUCCAACUAUACUGUUAUGUAACCCCAUUGUUUUAACAUUUAACAAUACAACUUGGGUAUUCUCUGACAAGCAAGAAUAUAUACUAUUGAUCACUUCUAUACACAAAAUAAAAACAGUUCAAAUGACUAGAAACUAAUUUUACAAAAGAAAAAAAAACAGGUUAGUAAAACAUUUCUUUUGAAAACAAUGGGUGAAUUAGUAUUCUGAAUUGAGCUAGAGCACAUUUUUGCUUGAAGACUCUCCAUAUUAGGCACUAUGCAUUUAUAUAGUACAGAACAUUUGCAAAAUGCUUUUCACCAUUUAUUAGGACUCACAACACCUGGGCGCUGGGGAAUAGCCGGACUACCUCAGUUUACACAGGGAGAACCAAGGCACACUGUGAGAUCUUGCCAGGGCCAGAGUGAGACCUCAUUAGCUUCUGACUUCUUGUAGGAAGAGCCAGAUGUUUCUUUGUGGAGGACAUUAAUUUGUUUAAUGAUAGGAGUAAAAGUAUGUGAGAUUUGUUGUGGGAAAAUUAGUUUGGGCUCCAUAAAUAAAAAGUUCAGAGCAUGGAUAAAGUAGAGAUUUCACUGUGAAAAGGGUCAAUGAGGAGAAGUUAAAACCAGAUAUAAGGCUCUUUUCAGACAGAUCACUUUUCAGAAAUAAAAAUAGCAAAACGAGAAUAGGAAAAAAAUAGCUAUAGAGUUUUUCAUUUCUAACCCAAGGGGCUUUGAUAAAAUCACUUUAAAAGAAGGAUCUCUCUCUUAAAACAACCCUUAAACAUCUUAUUUUUUCCCCCUCAUAAGACCCCUGUGAGGUAGAGAGCACUUACUUACAGGGAUGAAGCUAAGAAGUAAAGUUAAGAGUUUAAAACCACAUGGAUAGUGAACAGGCUGGAGCAGAUGUUAUGUCUUAAAGCAUUGGCUUAGAAAUAGAAACAGAAGGUAGAGAAUAAACAGGAACUUUUAUGGAUGGACAAGUGGAAUAAUCCAGGGAUCUAGUAGCAACACCAGCUACUUAACAUUUCUUUUAAAAAGGACUUGGAAUUUCAAGUAUGUGAUGAGGCCUAAAAUGACAAACACUUGUCUGGGUAUUGAAAUGCUCAGCUGAAGGGAAUAUAUGCAAUAUGUUCUCAUAAGACCAUGUGGGAAAAAGCAGAGGCAUAAAAGAGCUACAACCUGGACAAGUGCAAACUAAUGCAUUUAGGACAAACUGCUGUUACCUGUAGUUAAAAUAUAAUGGGCACUGAGCCAUCAAUAAGGCUUGAGAGAGGAACUUAAUUUAGCCUGAUCAACAUGCUAGGGUAGGUUUUUAAAAAAUACCAGUCAUUACUGGAAAGGGUAUUUAAAACCAAAACAAUGGCGCCUAUUCACUUGGAAAAUCACGUACAACUCUGGUAUUCAUAGAUCCACUGUGGGUUAUUAGCGGAAAUCAACUUCUGGAAGAGACACCUAAAACAUCUCUUCAUGGCUGACAGACACAUCUGUAGUAGGAUAGGACACAGUUCUAAGCCAGCAUAGCAAAUCUGAUGUUCUGGAUCUCCAGGGAGGCUUUCCCUCAAGGUCUCUAAUCAACUUUCACAGUCAAAUUCCAUACCAUGAUAAUAAAUACAACCAAUUUAGGUCAUGGUACCAAGGAUCCUGCUGGGUCACAGGGCACCUGAUUAUAGGAACUUUAUAAAUUGUAUUGCUGGGAAAAACCACAAGAGGACAACUGUUUGGUUUCCCAUCUUUUGAUGCAGCAAAAGAAUGAUAUAGCUCACCUGGGUUUUGUUUAUUAAAGAUUGUGUGGGAUGGCAUUUAUAAUCUAAUCAUCUUAAGUCCAUGAGUACAUCUCCUUGGGUCCAGCUGAUAUGCCUCUUCUAUAAAUCAUGUGCUAGUGGCAGCUGUAAACACAGCUACAGAAUGGGAGCAUUUAGAGGACAGUACCCUGCCCAUUUUCAACUCAUGGAAAUGUUGUUUUCAGGAAAUAUAUAUGGCAAUAAUAUUCAAAACAUCUAUUCCUCUGAAAUUAUGGAAGUUAAUCCUAAACCUCACAGCUUUAAGAUACAGAAUGUAACUAGUACUUUUUGAUGUAGGGAGGCAUGUUGUUUGAUAUAUAUCAUAACCUCAGCCCCCACACACUGACUAGAAUAUUCCGGGGGAAGGAUUAAUGGGAUGGAUUUAUUCAUAACUAACGGAAUGGAGAAUGUUUUUAUUUGUCAAUGGUAGAUCCUCUCUCCUUGAGACCCAGAGGGAACUUAUAUGUCAUUGCCCCAAUUGAAAACUUGGCUGACUGAAUCUGCUAGAAUAUUGCUGGAUUCACUUCUAAUAACUCUUCUAGGUAGGAUAAUGUUGGGUUGCACAGAAGGACAGAAUUGGGACUUUUUCAAGCUUACAGGACAGGUUGCAUGACUGUUCUGGUGCCUGCUUGCUCAUAAACACACAUGACGCAGCACUUGGUCUAAGACCUGAUUUCAGUGUAAAGUACCACCUGGUGAGGUUGGGAGCCCUAUAGCCCUCACACAUUUCUAUCUACUGAAGGCUACCAAAACAACCUAAUAAUUGUGAGCGCCCAAACUGGCAAAGGCCAGGUUAUAAUUUUCUCUAGUGGAGGAAACCCAAUAUUUUUAUAGAUAUAACAAUAUUAAUCCAGUCAUAGUCUACAGUUGAAAUAAGCCUGCAAAUAGCAGCUUCUAGUUUAAUGGGGAUGAAAGUCCCUGGUCCUGCUAUAAGGUCUGCAAAUGACUUCAGAAUGAAGGAAGGUCCUUGUCAGCCAAACACAGGAAGAAGAGAACCACAGAGCUGAGCCACGGGUGGGGACUGUGACAUUUCUAUUUGAUGCUUUUCUAUUCUUCUGUCUUUUUGGCUUCUUUCCAGUUGUCCAGUAUAGGAGUGUCGCCACUCCUGGGAGUUCAGUAAAGGUGAAACAAACACAGCAAUGAGCAUAUCGAACAACUAAGUUGAGGGAGAGAUGUUAGAGAGAAGUUUGUGCCCACUAAAAUUGAGCCAACUGAGAUGGAGUGGUUAUAAUUAUUUGGUUGGUUGUUUUUAUAGCUAUGGGUAAUCUAAUGAAUAUGAGAGUCUGAGCAUUUGAAUUACCCAUAGUAAAGUAAAAAAAAAGAGCAUAUGUACUUGCUUUUGUCUUAAUAAACAUUUCUUAUGGUUUUAUUCCAUAUACUCUCUUAUAUCUUUGCUUUAAAAAUAAUUUAAAAACUAUGUUCCCCACUCCCCAAAAGCAGAUUUGAAAGAAGUAACAGCCAACUGAUGCUCAGCAUGCCCUAUGAUUGUACAGCAGGGGAGUAUGGGCCUGUCUGUCCCACAGGAGCUCCUGGGAAGAGGGCAAAACAGGAGUCUGGUUCUAUUCCUUGAGAUGAUUCAUGUAAGGUAUUUGCCCUAGAACCCAAUCCAUACUACGUACUCAAUGAUGUUAUUUGUUAUUAGUAGUAAUUUUUAAAAUAAGAGCAAAUACUGGUAAUAGUAACAUGCAUUUUCAAUUCUAGCUAAAGCCUAAGCAGCUAAGAUUCAGACAAAAAGCUUUUCACAUGACAAUUAUUUGUUAUAGUAAAAGGAAGUUCUCUAACUUGCACUUGGCUAUACGUGAAUUCGAUCAAACUGAAUUUUUCAUUUUGCCACUUGGUAAUCCCUAGGGAAACUACAGUAUUCUAAAUGCUGGCAAGGGCCCUGGACAUUUAGGUUCAAUAUGCAACAAUAACAGAGUCAUAGGCAUUUGUCAGUUUGAAGGAAAAUUACAAUUCUCCAAUUUCCCAUCCAUUAUCAUCUUCUUUAACUCUCACCACAAUUCUGAGAGGUUGCAAAUGAUACCCCAGACAGGUUAAGUGACUUGCCUGUUUGAAUGGCUAGAAAGAGGUGAAGUUGGGAGUACCUGUUUUGAUUCUUGGUAAAUGGUCUAUCUUCCAAACUCCAGGGAAUGAGGCUUAAAGGAAGGCUCUACUGUAUAUAAAGAAUAGCACCGGAAAACCAGCAUAGUGCAGGAAAAGAGUGAAAAAUGGAAAACCAAAUAGUGAAUUUUAGACUACUGUGAAAGAGGUCUUAGGAAAUCAUUUGCAAUAGCAGGAUGAAGAAACUAUCUUGUCCCUUUAAGUAAACAAGCCCAUAGGAAAGUAAUGGGGAAACCAGUUCAUUGUAGUUUUCAGCACAUUUCUUAAGUAUCUAUUAUGUACAUGUUACACAGAAGCAUAGCCCCGGUAAGAAUUUUAUAUUACAUACCCCAAAGAGCAUGGACUUCUUAUACCAUUGCAUGUGGUGUGCAAAGAACACGGUGAUCUGCUACUGUAGCAACAAUGCAUACUCCAAGGCAUACUCUUGGGCUGCCUACAAAAUAGGCAAUAAAGGCUGUGCGUUUAAGGUAAGCAUGCACACCCCACCCAGAAGUGCAGAGCUGCAACCAUAAGUAGAUAAGCGCUCUGAGGAUUUAUUUCUGUUUCAGAGUGUUUUACUAAACAAGUUAUGGAAAGAGCAUCUAAUAUCAGCUAUGGAUUAUUCCCUAAACCUCAAUCGCUGACCUUUAAGAACCUAACUUCCAAAUUUAAAUGGCAUUGUCAAGUAGUCUAGGCUCCAAAUUUAGAGACCAACAGGCUACUUUUGGAUGGCAAUUUUUGGUAGAGAGGCCUGGUUGAUCAAACCCUUUUAAAGCUGCUUUCUAUUUAGCCCAGUUUUUAGAGAGAACAGAUGGAAGGCACCAGGAUAAGCUAUUAUAGAGCUUCUAUGACCUGUGUAAAGGGCCAAGAGCUAUAACAUCUACCAGUUUGUUAAAGAAGUAUCCUAGCUGACACAAGGCAAAGAAGAUACUGAACUCACUGGCUGCAGGAGAGGUGAGACUACAUCCUGAAAUUUCUUUUCCAUAACUACACUGAGAAUUUUAAAAGGUAGACAGUGGGUUCCUCAAGGUAUGGAGGGUGCUGAAGACAGGCCACAGGGCUCCUGAGAACCAGUGUUUCCAGAUCCCUUUCUCUGGUGCAAAUGAAGACAGCUACUCCCCUGGGUCUAUAGUAUGCUUUUGUGAACUAAUUCAACAAUUUACUUCCCAGCAGGACCCUGGAAACCAUCCCCAACAUGUAAGACAUUGACAUUUUUAAAGCUUUCUAAAGGAGCUGACAUACCCCCUUAUUGCCUCCAUAACAUCCAGUGUUUAUGAAACACUUCCCUGUCAAGCAGAGCUCUGAUCACAGCCAUCCUCCUAUCGGAAGACAAAUGCCAGGAUUCCUACACCUUCAGUUAUACUAACUCAGCGUUGGCCUUCCAAAUAAUAAAGUUGAAUAUUUUCUUUGCUACAAAGGGCAGUACACUCCUACUCUGAGGUAGCACAGUAGCAAUGGGCGUCCUUGAAAUUCACCCUUUGAUCCUUACAGCUACAGACUUUAAAACUGCUAAUUACCUAGCUAAAGCAUUGAGUUGAAAUCUAAGCAUCCUGUCUCCCAGAGUUGCUGGUCACUCGCGUAAAUGGGGGAGAAUAUAUUUCGGCUGUAGAACUACCUAGAUAAUUUGAUAAAGCAUGGCAACUAGAAAGAAGAAACAAACACACAAAGAAGAACUAGAGCCAGCACGACAUAAAUCAUAACGUAUCUUUGGCAUCUCAUUAGAAAUCUAUGCUAACAUUCUCCUCUACCCUUGAAGUUAGGUUGGAAAUAUACUUAAUGUAUUUUAUUGCUUAUGUCACUCUUUCCUAAACACUCUGUAGUAUUUUCUAUACCUCUGACACACCUCUAACCUUCCAGAAUACAAAGUAAGAUGCUUUCCUUAAGAUGUGAGGGAAGCGAUGGACAUUCAUGUGAAACUACAUUCCUUCCACCUCUGCUCUGUAAUUAUCUCACUGUAAUUACUACUGUCAAUCUCAGGGAUGGAAAGCUGGCAAAGGGAGAUGAGAAAACUCAAGACACAUUUACAGACACUAAAGUGUUGCGGGAUACCCUAGUAGAUAAGUCAUUAUAUUAUUUACUUUUUAGCAUCUCUUGACUCUUGGUGACCAGGUAAAGUAGGGGAGAAGGGAUAAAAAACAUGUCAGUUUAACAUACGUGCCAUAUUGAAGUGCCUUUUCUUUUAAGUUUUCUAAAUUUUCACCUGGCUUUUAAGAGCAGAAGUUAUUUCAUGGUGACUUUCCAGCAGGCUUUUCUGAGGUAGAUAAAACAUGGAUGAUAAGUAGUCUGAAGAAUGCAGAAGGGGAGGUGAAGACUGUGUGGCUGGGAUUAGUUUGAAAGAAAUUUCAGAAGUGAAAGCUGAGCCUGUCAUGUACAAUACUAGAGAAAAGAGGAACAAGGUUAAAGGCUGUACACCAUUUAAACAAGGUUUUUAGAAUUUAAUAGGUGCAAAAUAGGCUAAUCUAGCUAGUAAAGAACAGGACUGUAGGAACAGUGACAGAGCAAAAGUAGAGCCUUUGUUACAUACAGCUAGUCAAAAGUAGGCAGAAAACAGCAAGAGAUAUGUAUCCCUCAGGACCUCAGUGCUCAACAAAGAAUAUAUAUCAUAAUAACACAAAGGUUUAAAAGCAACCAACAGGCUUGAAGGUUUCAACUGCCUUUUGUUGCUGUUUGGAUGAAAAGCAAAUUUUGCCUCUUUCCUCAGGCCUCUGUUUGUACACAGGUAUUGUAAUUGUAUUAAGCAUGUCAGGGAAAUCCAAAUCCCAGCUAAAUAAUUAGUGAAAUAGAUUCUGAACUCAUUUUUAUGCCUGUGUGAAUUACAGAUGAACAGGCUAGCAUGCCUGAGACCCAACGAGGUUAAUAGUAUCAGCUGGGGCCUUUCUUUCUGGAGAAUCACUGCAGUUAUCACAGGCAGAUGCUGUACUGUUAAAUGAAAAUGCCAUUGUAGGCCAAAUGUUAGCAGUUAAAUACCAUCAUCACAGAAACACACAAAGCUAUAGUCAAGUUCACAAACACAGCUGGUGGUUAAGAAACGCUUAAUGAAGAAAAGAAAUUUGCUAUUGGCUUUACGUCAUUCAUUAAGACUUCCAAUACCCUUAGAGUGGGACUGUUC